RNAcentral lists this transfer RNA (73 nucleotides) under [Bacteroides] pectinophilus. RNAcentral's name for it is "tRNA-Thr". It matches the Rfam family "tRNA". Rfam says of the family: Transfer RNA (tRNA) molecules are approximately 80 nucleotides in length. Their secondary structure includes four short double-helical elements and three loops (D, anti-codon, and T loops). RNAcentral also lists the same sequence under 2 other names. The record is from RNAcentral. Lineage: Bacteria; Bacillati; Bacillota; Clostridia; Eubacteriales.
GCUUUCGUGGCUCAGUUGGUAGAGCGAUUGAUUCGUAAUCAAUAGGUCGUGGGUUCGAGUCCCAUCGGAAGCU